This is a long non-coding RNA of Symphalangus syndactylus (siamang), 876 nucleotides long. RefSeq lists it as uncharacterized. The record is from RefSeq and is a predicted model, not a curated record. Lineage: Eukaryota; Metazoa; Chordata; Mammalia; Primates; Hylobatidae.
CAUUCCAGAUGGGGAAAACAAGCCACAGGUGAUAAUCUCCAGCACCAAGUUUCCCUGACAAGUGCAACAUUAGGUCAAAUGAUCUCCCAAGAGUACUGAAGGAACCUCAGGACACCUCUGGUUAAAAUUUUAAAGCUGAACAUCAAACUCUAUUAAUGUUUGAAUAUUUGCAUCCAUCACAAUAUGGUAUGAUUUGAAAAUAUCCCACUACAAGUACAUGGAACCUAAGGAUCAAUGGGGAAGCCAGAGAAUCUUUAUCAAGAUAUCAGGACAUGCUGAAUGUUGACAAGUAUUAGAUGACUGGUUUCGAAAAACACAAGAAUGAUAGAAUUUUCCCAUCAAGAGUGUCUGUCCACACUGGGGAUAGCAAUAUAAGCCAUCACUUUUUGAUAAUAUGUAUAACAAUGGACUGCAAGGAACAGAGAAUACAGACUCCCCAUUCUUCCUGACAUAAACUAUGUCCAUGGCAUCAGGAAUGCUGGUGAACUUGUUUCUGUCUGGAGGCUGACGAUAUUUCUUCUCACUGAUGAUUUCCGAAGCCCGCUUGUUCUUUUCUGCCUCUAAAGAACCUAAAGGACUCCAUCCUAUGCCUCUCAGCCACUCAAGGGAGCCCAGAGGGAGCCAUCCAAUGCCCUUCAUGAAGUCAGCAUAGUCAGCCUUGUACUGAUUCUGCAAAAGAGGAAAAAUUAAAUUAUGAGAAGAAACUGAAACUUCCCAAGAAUCCUAAGUGUGUGUUUAAUAUUCUGUAACUUCCACUUCAUUUGUAACUUUUCUGUAACUUUUCCACUUCAAUAUUUGCUUGAAUAUUGGUAUUUAAGCAAUAGCAUGUUGAACUUCAACCAUUUCUUCCCUAAACUUUUAUCCUUUUUAUAUUUC